Molecule: long non-coding RNA, 1379 nt
Organism: Bos taurus (domestic cattle)
Lineage: Eukaryota; Metazoa; Chordata; Mammalia; Artiodactyla; Bovidae
Source: Ensembl
CCAUAAUGCUUUCUGCCUGCCUCCUGGAUUCAAUAUGGUAUCAACAAACCAGUCUUUUAGGCUUCAUAAUCUGAUCGCACCUUAUUUAUUAUAUUCGUAUCUCCCAUAACCCUUCAAGAUGAACUUCAAUUUCAACCAGUUAACCUCCAAUAACCUCUGUUAACAUCUUUCUCUUUGUUCUUACUUCCCAAUUAUAUUAUCUAUAAGAAAGGGUGGGAAGGAAAAAAAGGCUGUAUCUGUUCUCUUCCACCUGAUAGUCCACAUUCCAAAGGGUUAAGUGUCUGAAUACAAUUAGAAACAUGACAAGUAUUUAAAGUACAUGAAAUUGAAGCUUCUAGAUAAAGACAGUUGAAUGAACAGCAUAUCUGGAUAUGAUAUCUAGGAAUGAAACAUAUCUAGUUUUCAUCCUUCUCAAUCUCCCCACAUAAAAAUACAGUAAAGGAGUGCAUAAAUCCUAAGGAUAAAGAGAGUGAAAAAGGAUACCAAAAGAACCAAAUUUUGGAGAGUAGAAAGCAGACAAAUAGUAAUGGACUUGGCAAACUUUGAAAGACCACAAAUAAGUUAGUAAACAGACAUUAAGUAUAAGCACGCUCAGUUCAGUUGCUCAGUCAUGUCCGACUCUUUGCAACCCCAUGGACUGCAGCACACCAGGCUUCUCUGUCCUUCACCAACUCCUGGAGCUUGCUCAGACUUAUGUCCAUUGAGUCGGUGAUGCCAUCCAACUAUCUCAUCCUCUGUCGUCCCCUUAUCCUCCCACCUUCAAUCUUUCCCAGCAUCAGGGUCUUUUCUAAUGAGUCAGUUCUUUGCAUCAGGUGGCCGAAGUAUUAGAGCUUCAGCAUCAGUCCUUCUAAUGAAUAUGCAGGACUGAUUUCCUUUAGGAUUGACUGGUUUGAUCUCAUUGCUGUCCAAGGGACUCUCAAGUCUUCUCCCACACCACAGUUCAAAAGCAUCAAUUCUUUGGCGCUCAGCUUUCUUUAUGGUCCAACUCUCAUAUCCAUACAUGAAUACUGGACUCUAGAAUCCUCAAAAAACUCAAGGAUUGAUGGCAUCUCCGGAAGAGGGGUUAAAUGGGGUGUUGAAACAAGGAAGACUGGUUGAAUUAAGGUUGUUUGAGGAUCAGGUAGCUUCCUGGAUUUCUCCUCUUCCCAUACUCCACAUCACUGGUUGAUCAUACCUCCCACACUCUGGCCAAAGUCUAGAGGUUUAGGCUUCAGAGAUGGGAAAACAGAUGGAUUCUGGUUGGAGGAAAACCAGUCAUGGUUGAGGGUGGGUAGUACUUAAAACAAGCAAAAUAAGUGGAUGCAUGUAUAUUGAAUACUAAGACUUUCUGCUUCUUCUGCCACUUUAUCCUUCAGCCAAGAGAAACUGGAGGACUACUC